UACGAAGGGUGCAAGCGUUACUCGGAAUUACUGGGCGUAAAGCGUGCGUAGGUGGUUGUUUAAGUCUGCUGUGAAAGCCCUGGGCUCAACCUGGGAAUUGCAGUGGAUACUGGGCGACUAGAGUGUGGUAGAGGAUAGUGGAAUUUCCGGUGUAGCAGUGAAAUGCGUAGAGAUCGGAAGGAACAUCUGUGGCGAAGGCGACUAUCUGGGCCAACACUGACACUGAGGCACGAAAGCGUGGGGAGCAAGCAGG
Molecule: ribosomal RNA, 253 nt
Filed under: uncultured bacterium
Lineage: Bacteria
Description: partial 16S ribosomal RNA
Rfam family: Bacterial small subunit ribosomal RNA
Source: RNAcentral